CCUUGUACACACCGCCCGUCACACCAUGGGAGUCGUUUGCUCCAGAAGUGCCUACGCCAACCGCAAGGAGGCAGGGCCCCAAGGAGUGAACGGUAACUGGGGUG
RNAcentral lists this ribosomal RNA (104 nucleotides) under uncultured bacterium. RNAcentral's name for it is "partial 16S ribosomal RNA". It matches the Rfam family "Bacterial small subunit ribosomal RNA", at positions 1379 to 1482 of the family's 1533-position model. The record is from RNAcentral.